AUACGGAGGAUGCAAGCGUUAUCCGGAUUUACUGGGUUUAAAGGGUACGCAGGCGGUAAUUUAAGUCAGUGGUGAAAGCCUACAGCUCAACUGUAGAACUGCCAUUGAAACUGAAUUACUUGAGUAUGGUAGAGGUAGGCGGAAUACAACAUGUAGCGGUGAAAUGCAUAGAUAUGUUGUAGAACACCGAUUGCGAAGGCAGCUUACUAAACCAUUACUGACGCUCAUGUACGAAAGCGUGGGGAGCGAACAGGAUUAGAAACCCGAGUAGUCC
Molecule: ribosomal RNA, 274 nt
Filed under: uncultured bacterium
Lineage: Bacteria
Description: partial 16S ribosomal RNA
Rfam family: Bacterial small subunit ribosomal RNA
Source: RNAcentral